RNAcentral lists this long non-coding RNA (1600 nucleotides) under Callithrix jacchus (white-tufted-ear marmoset). RNAcentral's name for it is "lncRNA (ENSCJAG00000080301.1)". Lineage: Eukaryota; Metazoa; Chordata; Mammalia; Primates; Cebidae. The record is from RNAcentral.
AGCACAGGCCAUCCAUCUUCUAGAAUGAGUCACCAGCUGAAGGGGUAAGGGGCUGAAUCAAAGCCUGAGGGUCAACCCAGAGAGACUCUGCCCUUUAAAGCAAAAGCCCAGCUGUUCUAGGACGGGGGAAGCAUGGGUGAUGGGUGAUUUUACUCAGAGGCGCAUGUGCUGAUCUUGACAGAUAGAAACAUGUACUUCUCUCUUUCUCAUUUUGACAAUGAGUCACAAGACAAAACUGAGUCUUCUCUUCAUUGGCAUGCACCCUGUUUAGCAAAGGGCUGGGCACGGGGUGGGCAUUCCCAUUAAUAGCUUGUUCAGUAGUAAAAACCAAAUUUGUCUCAUUCAUUCAUAAAAUAUUAACUAGUUAAUUAGCUAAGUAGUUGACAGUAAACUGAGAUUGCUAAAAUUGUCAUGCAAAAAAGCAAUGAUUUUUCUUCUUGUAGGAAGCAACCUGGCGGAGAGACUGCCAAUAAUUAAAGAAGAUACUUGAGCGUACAAGGCCCACCGGAUGUCUGGACUGCUUGGGGGAUUAAGGAAACUUUUGGUUCUGGGGUACAUGUGCAGAUCAUGCAGGAUUGUUGCACAGGAGGUGGUGAGGAUGAGAGGAGGCCAGGCCUGUGCAGAAAGCAGUGUCGUCUGGUUAUGUGGUUUCUCCCCAGUGAACACAGCUCAGAAGAAGAUGGGACCGAGGAACUAAUUGAAAUCACAUCUUCCUUUUCUUAUUGAGUAGCCAAGAAAUAGGAACAUCCGUAAGGUCAGGAAACCUGACCAAAUCUUAACUUGCAGGUGGAUCUAUGCUUGAGAUUAUGUUUCUACACACUAGAUCACUUAAAAGAAAGGAGUGGUGAUUCCCUGUUUUAUUAAUUAAAUUAUUCAUUUAUAAACCCACAUUGAUUAGCGCCUCUUUCUGUCUGGCAGUGUAAUAGGUGUGGCACAUUGCCAUGUAAGCCAGCACACAGGCCCUGCCCCUAGAGGCCCAGGCCCAGGUGGGCACACCUCACCGUGGAUGGAACACAUUAGUGGUGCUCUACAUGAUCAUGAACACUCCACGUUCUUCUAGAAUAAAAUUUAAUACUCUUAGAAUAUUACGUGUGAUUUAGUUCUGAGAAAAUCAGUAAGCAAUAAUAAAGACACCUUCCCUUUCAGCCUGUACUUAGUAGUAGGUUGAACCAUAUAAAGCUGCAGGUUUUGCAGGUAGAAAUGAUCAAAUAGUGCCAAUAUCAAAUGGUCUAGCCUCAGUAGCUGAAAACAUCCCUGGACUGCCUCCUCCCAGGGCAGGACAGAGAUACAGGACUCACAGCUCAGCCUUACGUUCAAAUCUGCAUGCAAGAGUUCCUCCAAGGUGAUAUUGUCCCUCAUCUACAGGCACACAGGAGCUCUCUGCUCUGCCCGGGCUCCCACUUCUGGAAAGGAAGGCAUGGCUUCAAGUUGGCUGGAAGUCGUGCUAUCUCCCAUCACCCUUAUUAAAGCAGAAGAUUAAUAUGGCUCCCUCUACACACGUAGUUAGAAUGGCAGAACCUUAACCCCUCACUGAUUCCUUUGAGAUUGUUCUUCACGGCCUAUCCAUCAAUGUCUUUUGUUUACUUUUGUUGUUUUUCUG